Molecule: ribosomal RNA, 200 nt
Filed under: uncultured bacterium
Lineage: Bacteria
Description: partial 16S ribosomal RNA
Rfam family: Bacterial small subunit ribosomal RNA
Source: RNAcentral
UACGGAGGGUGCAAGCGUUAAUCGGAAUUACUGGGCGUAAAGCGCGCGUAGGCGGCUUGGUCAGUCAGAUGUGAAAUCCCAGGGCUUAACCUUGGAACUGCAUUUGAUACUGCCAGGCUAGAGUAUGUUAGAGGAAAGCGGAAUUCCAGGUGUAGCGGUGAAAUGCGUAGAUAUCUGGAGGAACAUCAGUGGCGAAGGCG